RNAcentral lists this ribosomal RNA (499 nucleotides) under uncultured bacterium. RNAcentral's name for it is "bacterial SSU rRNA". It matches the Rfam family "Bacterial small subunit ribosomal RNA", at positions 19 to 509 of the family's 1533-position model. The record is from RNAcentral.
CUGGCUCAGGAUGAACGCUAGCUACAGGCUUAACACAUGCAAGUCGAGGGGCAGCAUGCAGGUAGCUUGCUAUCUGCGAUGGCGACCGGCGCACGGGUGCGUAACACGUAUCCAAUCUGCCCGUUACUCAGGGAUAGCCUUUCGAAAGAAAGAUUAAUACCUGAUGGUUUCCCAUUCCCGCAUGGGAAUGUGAGUAAAGAUUCAUCGGUAACGGAUGAGGAUGCGUCCGAUUAGCUUGUUGGCGGGGCAACGGCCCACCAAGGCGACGAUCGUAGGGGUUCUGAGAGGAAGGUCCCCACACUGGAACUGAGACACGGUCCAGACUCCUACGGGAGGCAGCAGUGAGGAAUAUUGGUCAAUGGGCGCGAGCCUGAACCAGCCAAGUAGCGUGAGGGACGACGGCCCUACGGGUUGUAAACCUCUUUUGUUUGGGAAUAAAGUGCCCUACGCGUAGGGUUUUGUAUGUACCAUGCGAAUAAGCAUCGGCUAAUUCCGUGCC